This 671-nucleotide ribosomal RNA is filed under the name uncultured Marinomonas sp. RNAcentral describes it as "bacterial SSU rRNA". It matches the Rfam family "Bacterial small subunit ribosomal RNA", at positions 60 to 720 of the family's 1533-position model. Lineage: Bacteria; Pseudomonadati; Pseudomonadota; Gammaproteobacteria; Oceanospirillales; Oceanospirillaceae. The record is from RNAcentral.
AGUCGAGCGGUAACAGGAAUUAGCUUGCUAAUUUGCUGACGAGCGGCGGACGGGUGAGUAACGCGUAGGAAUCUGCCUGGUAGUGGGGGACAACAUGUGGAAACGCAUGCUAAUACCGCAUACGCCCUACGGGGGAAAGGAGGGGAUCUUCGGACCUUUCGCUAUCAGAUGAGCCUGCGUGAGAUUAGCUAGUUGGUGGGGUAAAGGCUCACCAAGGCGACGAUCUCUAGCUGGUCUGAGAGGAUGAUCAGCCACACUGGGACUGAGACACGGCCCAGACUCCUACGGGAGGCAGCAGUGGGGAAUAUUGGACAAUGGGCGCAAGCCUGAUCCAGCCAUGCCGCGUGUGUGAAGAAGGCCUCCGGGUUGUAAAGCACUUUCAGAGGUGAGGAAGGGUGUGCCGUUAAUACCGGUAUGCUUUGACGUUAGCCUCAGAAGAAGCACCGGCUAACUCUGUGCCAGCAGCCGCGGUAAUACAGAGGGUGCGAGCGUUAAUCGGAAUUACUGGGCGUAAAGCGCGCGUAGGUGGUUUGUUAAGUCGGAUGUGAAAGCCCAGGGCUCAACCUUGGAAUUGCACCCGAUACUGGCAGGCUAGAGUACGGUAGAGGGGUGUGGAAUUUCCUGUGUAGCGGUGAAAUGCGUAGAUAUAGGAAGGAACAUCAGUGGCGAAG